RNAcentral lists this ribosomal RNA (438 nucleotides) under uncultured Sphingobacteriales bacterium. Its description in RNAcentral is "bacterial SSU rRNA". It matches the Rfam family "Bacterial small subunit ribosomal RNA", at positions 941 to 1382 of the family's 1533-position model. The record is from RNAcentral. Lineage: Bacteria; Pseudomonadati; Bacteroidota; Sphingobacteriia; Sphingobacteriales.
GUGGUUUAAUUCGAUGAUACGCGAGGAACUUACCUGGGCUUAAAUGUAGAGCGACAGAUUGUGAAAGCAGUCCUUCUUCGGACGAUCUACAAGGUGCUGCAUGGUUGUCGUCAGCUCGUGCCGUGAGGUGUCGGGUUAAGUCCCAUAACGAGCGCAACCCUUAUCGUUAGUUGCCAGCGGGUCAAGCCGGGGACUCUAGCGAGACUGCCACCGUAAGGUGUGAGGAAGGUGGGGAUGACGUCAAAUCAGCACGGCCCUUAUGUCCAGGGCUACACACGUGUUACAAUGGCAAGUACAAAGGGCAGCUACCAGGUGACUGGAUGCUAAUCUCUAAAGCUUGUCUCAGUUCGGAUCGGAGUCUGCAACUCGACUCCGUGAAGUUGGAUUCGCUAGUAAUCGCGCAUCAGCCAUGGCGCGGUGAAUACGUUCCCGGGCCUU